AUUGAACGCUGGCGGCAGGCCUAACACAUGCAAGUCGAACGAGUGGCGGACGGGUGAGUAAUGUCUGGGAAACUGCUCGAUGGAGGGGGAUAACUACUGGAAACGGUAGCUAAUACCGCAUACCCUCGGAUGUGCCCAGAUGGGAUUAGCUAGUAGGUGGGGUAACGGCUCACCAAGGCGACGAUCCAUAGCUGGGAUGAGAGGGUGACCAGCCACACUGGAACUGAGACACGGUCCAGACUCCUACGGGAGGCAGCAGUGGGGAAUAUUGCGCAAUGGGCGAAAGCCUGAUGCAGCCAUGCCGCGUGUAUGAAGAAGGCCUUCGGGUUGUAAAGUACUUUCAGCGAGGAGGCGUUACUCGAAGAAGAAGCACCGGCUAACUCCGUGCCAGCAGCCGCGGUAAUUC
Molecule: ribosomal RNA, 406 nt
Filed under: uncultured bacterium
Lineage: Bacteria
Description: partial 16S ribosomal RNA
Rfam family: Bacterial small subunit ribosomal RNA
Source: RNAcentral